GUGGCUUUUAACCACGUGGUCGUGGGUUCGAUCCCCACAGACGGUG
Molecule: transfer RNA, 46 nt
Filed under: Ipomoea nil (Japanese morning glory)
Lineage: Eukaryota; Viridiplantae; Streptophyta; Magnoliopsida; Solanales; Convolvulaceae
Rfam family: tRNA
About the family: Transfer RNA (tRNA) molecules are approximately 80 nucleotides in length. Their secondary structure includes four short double-helical elements and three loops (D, anti-codon, and T loops).
Source: Rfam by way of RNAcentral